Molecule: small RNA, 977 nt
Filed under: Arabidopsis thaliana (thale cress)
Lineage: Eukaryota; Viridiplantae; Streptophyta; Magnoliopsida; Brassicales; Brassicaceae
Description: ATSL059880
Source: RNAcentral
AAAAUUAUAUGUGAUUUUAAUAAAAACCAUGUAUUACUAAAAAAUAAGAAUAUAUUUUUAAAGAAAUCACGUGUGAUCUUAAUAAAAAACGUGUAUUACUACAAAAUAUCAUGAUAAAAUGAGAUAUUAAACUGAAUAGAAUGUUUUUUCCAAAAAAUACUAUGUGCUUUUUACAAAUACUAUGUAAUAAGAGAAAAUAACAAGAUAAAAAGAGGAUAUUAUGUUAUCGCAUGUAUUUCGGAAAAAUAACAUGUUACAAAGGACAUUUACGUAAUUACACGUGUUCUCCAACAUGUUUCCGACAAGAUACUGUGACUCAAGGUUAAUUUGUACAUUCUUUUCAAAUCUAUAGUCAUUUAUUAUAAAUACUCUAAAAUAAAUGUCAACAAACUAUUCGAAUAUCUAGAUGCAAAUGAAGCAUACUCAAAAAUUCAGAGUUUUUAAAGGAAAUUGUGAUUUCUGUCUAUAAUGUUGGUAAAGAACUUGAAAACGAUAAUGUGAAACUUUUUGAAAUAGUGACACGUAAGGAAGCAAUUACCGCGUCUAGAACUCUUUACAACUUUUGGAUGCAUAUCGAAAAGACAACACCAAGAGUUUUUGAUGCAAUAAAGAAAAUUAGAGAUGAACUUCAAAAAGAUUCAAAUUUUAAGAAAAGACAAAUAUAACUAAAGUCAUAUUAUACUAGAUUAUCUUUAAAAGUAUGCUUAAUAUUAGUAAUUAUUAAUUUAUGAUAUUAUUGGGACCAUAUUUUGACAUAGAGAUUUCAAAAAAAUUAUUAUCAUAUUAUCUUAUCGAUUUUGGUUAAUUUUCACAUUGGCCCGACUUGAGACCGAUAUAUUUUAUUAAUUUAUUGUGUUUAUUAAUUUAUCGAGUAUUAAUUUAUAGAGUUUCUACUGUAAUUCAUAAUCACCUUAGCUGGUAUAUUCUUUAAGCAACAUUAAUCAUUUUAAUCACGUGAUGACCAGAAAUGAAGAAAU